AACAGAAUGCCUGAAUAAAGGGUUAUUUUGAUAGAAUAAAUUAUGUAAUGUUUUUACUUCUGUUA
This 65-nucleotide transfer RNA is filed under the name Atheta sp. 2 EF-2015. RNAcentral's name for it is "tRNA-Ile". The record is from RNAcentral. Lineage: Eukaryota; Metazoa; Arthropoda; Insecta; Coleoptera; Staphylinidae.